Molecule: ribosomal RNA, 253 nt
Filed under: uncultured bacterium
Lineage: Bacteria
Description: partial 16S ribosomal RNA
Rfam family: Bacterial small subunit ribosomal RNA
Source: RNAcentral
UACGAAGGGGGCUAGCGUUGUUCGGAGUUACUGGGCGUAAAGGGCGCGUAGGCGGCGCACCAAGUCAGGCGUGAAAGACCUGGGCUCAACCCGGGAAUUGCGCUUGAGACUGGUGUGCUUGAGUACGGGAGAGGAUAGUGGAAUUCCCAGUGUAGCGGUGAAAUGCGUAGAGAUCGGGAGGAACACCAGUGGCGAAGGCGGCUACCUGGACCAGCACUGACACUGAGGCACGAAAGCGUGGGGAGCAAACAGG